UCAAAGAUAAGGUACUUCAGUUUAGUAUGAUCAUUCGUAGUACAUCUGUGUGUACACCAACAUGAAUAAACUUUGUUGUAGGCAUACUUUCCUUUUCAUGUGGAAGAAAAUCAUUGGAUAACAGUUCUUAUGCACAACAAGAAAAAAGAGUUUCAAGUUUUAAACUCUACUGGUAAAUGCAGCAAAAGAGUUCUUGCAAAGAUUGCUAAGCUGGUAAGCUUGCAACGUUACAUAAAACAAUAUAUAGUUAUUCGAAACGUACUUCAUAUGAAUUUGUCAUUUUUAUUUCAGAGGGCAGAAAUAGCAAAUGAUACAAAGGAGGUGAAUGCUCUUAUUGAAACGGAACAUCCUGACGUAUCAUCCUGGCCAAUAAGGG
Molecule: long non-coding RNA, 376 nt
Filed under: Triticum aestivum (bread wheat)
Lineage: Eukaryota; Viridiplantae; Streptophyta; Magnoliopsida; Poales; Poaceae
Description: long non-coding RNA (TAES_LNC024419)
Source: RNAcentral